Molecule: ribosomal RNA, 254 nt
Filed under: uncultured bacterium
Lineage: Bacteria
Description: partial 16S ribosomal RNA
Rfam family: Bacterial small subunit ribosomal RNA
Source: RNAcentral
CACGUAGGGGGCGAGCGUUGUCCGGAUUUAUUGGGCGUAAAGAGCUCGUAGGCGGCUCAGUAAGUCAGGUGUGAAAACUCCAGGCUCAACCUGGAGACGCCACCUGAUACUGCUGUGGCUAGAGUCCGGUAGGGGAGCAUGGAAUUCCUGGUGUAGCGGUGAAAUGCGCAGAUAUCAGGAAGAACACCCGUGGCGAAAGCGGCUCUCUGGAACGGUACUGACGCUGAGACGCGAAAGCGUGGGGAGCGAACAGG